Molecule: ribosomal RNA, 1343 nt
Filed under: Staphylococcus aureus
Lineage: Bacteria; Bacillati; Bacillota; Bacilli; Caryophanales; Staphylococcaceae
Description: partial 23S ribosomal RNA
Rfam family: Bacterial large subunit ribosomal RNA
Source: RNAcentral
UCCGAAUGGGGAAACCCAGCAUGAGUUAUGUCAUGUUAUCGAUAUGUGAAUACAUAGCAUAUCAGAAGGCACACCCGGAGAACUGAAACAUCUUAGUACCCGGAGGAAGAGAAAGAAAAUUCGAUUCCCUUAGUAGCGGCGAGCGAAACGGGAAGAGCCCAAACCAACAAGCUUGCUUGUUGGGGUUGUAGGACACUCUAUACGGAGUUACAAAGGACGACAUUAGACGAAUCAUCUGGAAAGAUGAAUCAAAGAAGGUAAUAAUCCUGUAGUCGAAAAUGUUGUCUCUCUUGAGUGGAUCCUGAGUACGACGGAGCACGUGAAAUUCCGUCGGAAUCUGGGAGGACCAUCUCCUAAGGCUAAAUACUCUCUAGUGACCGAUAGUGAACCAGUACCGUGAGGGAAAGGUGAAAAGCACCCCGGAAGGGGAGUGAAAUAGAACCUGAAACCGUGUGCUUACAAGUAGUCAGAGCCCGUUAAUGGGUGAUGGCGUGCCUUUUGUAGAAUGAACCGGCGAGUUACGAUUUGAUGCAAGGUUAAGCAGUAAAUGUGGAGCCGUAGCGAAAGCGAGUCUGAAUAGGGCGUUUAGUAUUUGGUCGUAGACCCGAAACCAGGUGAUCUACCCUUGGUCAGGUUGAAGUUCAGGUAACACUGAAUGGAGGACCGAACCGACUUACGUUGAAAAGUGAGCGGAUGAACUGAGGGUAGCGGAGAAAUUCCAAUCGAACCUGGAGAUAGCUGGUUCUCUCCGAAAUAGCUUUAGGGCUAGCCUCAAGUGAUGAUUAUUGGAGGUAGAGCACUGUUUGGACGAGGGGCCCCUCUCGGGUUACCGAAUUCAGACAAACUCCGAAUGCCAAUUAAUUUAACUUGGGAGUCAGAACAUGGGUGAUAAGGUCCGUGUUCGAAAGGGAAACAGCCCAGACCACCAGCUAAGGUCCCAAAAUAUAUGUUAAGUGGAAAAGGAUGUGGCGUUGCCCAGACAACUAGGAUGUUGGCUUAGAAGCAGCCAUCAUUUAAAGAGUGCGUAAUAGCUCACUAGUCGAGUGACACUGCGCCGAAAAUGUACCGGGGCUAAACAUAUUACCGAAGCUGUGGAUUGUCCUUUGGACAAUGGUAGGAGAGCGUUCUAAGGGCGUUGAAGCAUGAUCGUAAGGACAUGUGGAGCGCUUAGAAGUGAGAAUGCCGGUGUGAGUAGCGAAAGACGGGUGAGAAUCCCGUCCACCGAUUGACUAAGGUUUCCAGAGGAAGGCUCGUCCGCUCUGGGUUAGUCGGGUCCUAAGCUGAGGCCGACAGGCGUAGGCGAUGGAUAACAGGUUGAUAUUCCUGUACCACCUAUAAUCGUU